GUGCCAGCAGCCGCGGUAAUACGUAGGUGGCAAGCGUUGUCCGGAAUUAUUGGGCGUAAAGCGCGCGCAGGCGGUUUCUUAAGUCUGAUGUGAAAGCCCACGGCUCAACCGUGGAGGGUCAUUGGAAACUGGGAGACUUGAGUACAGAAGAGGAGAGUGGAAUUCCACGUGUAGCGGUGAAAUGCGUAGAGAUGUGGAGGAACACCAGUGGCGAAGGCGACUCUCUGGUCUGUAACUGACGCUGAGGCGCGAAAGCGUGGGGAGCGAACAGGAUUAGAUACCCUGGUAGUCC
This 292-nucleotide ribosomal RNA is filed under the name uncultured microorganism. Its description in RNAcentral is "partial 16S ribosomal RNA". It matches the Rfam family "Bacterial small subunit ribosomal RNA", at positions 505 to 796 of the family's 1533-position model. The record is from RNAcentral.